CAGAACCAUAAACUAAGCAUAUGGCCUGUGAAGUUGGCCCUCAUGAUUGGGUCACUUUGGUAAUGAUGAAAAUUGGCUGAACAUAUUACCUUCUUCUCUUUGGUAUAGAUCCUUUCUUGUAUUAUUCACCACUUUGGAAGACACAGAGAUAUUGACUCUUUGGCUGGUGACCAUAGAUCUGAAGAUCUCUUAGGACCUGUGUUCCGUUGAGCACAUUCUGGAAAAUGCUGUCUUAGGAGGCCCAGGAGCUCAUCUCUUUGACAGUGGGUAACUCCUAACAAAUAGAAAAAUGGAAGAAGAUCCCUCCAAAGAGGACUUGUGGUGGAGUGGAUAGGUACUGACUUCAGAGGCAGUCAAACCUGGGACAAUACCCAGAUUCUACCUUUAAUAUGUCUGUGAUUUGGGGCAAGUUAGGUAAACUCUGGAUCUCAGUGUACU
Long non-coding RNA from Papio anubis (olive baboon), 438 nucleotides. The record is from Ensembl. Lineage: Eukaryota; Metazoa; Chordata; Mammalia; Primates; Cercopithecidae.